RNAcentral lists this ribosomal RNA (269 nucleotides) under uncultured Lachnospiraceae bacterium. RNAcentral's name for it is "partial 16S ribosomal RNA". It matches the Rfam family "Bacterial small subunit ribosomal RNA", at positions 70 to 339 of the family's 1533-position model. The record is from RNAcentral. Lineage: Bacteria; Bacillati; Bacillota; Clostridia; Lachnospirales; Lachnospiraceae.
UUCGGAUGAUUUUCUAUUUGACUGAGCGGCGGACGGGUGAGUAACGCGUGGGUAACCUGCCUCAUACAGGGGGAUAACAGUUAGAAAUGACUGCUAAUACCGCAUAAGCGCACAGUGCUGCAUGGCACAGUGUGAAAAACUCCGGUGGUAUGAGAUGGACCCGCGUCUGAUUAGCUAGUUGGUGGGGUAACGGCCUACCAAGGCGACGAUCAGUAGCCGGCCUGAGAGGGUGAACGGCCACAUUGGGACUGAGACACGGCCCAAACUCC